RNAcentral lists this ribosomal RNA (458 nucleotides) under uncultured Clostridium sp. RNAcentral describes it as "partial 16S ribosomal RNA". It matches the Rfam family "Bacterial small subunit ribosomal RNA", at positions 341 to 792 of the family's 1533-position model. Lineage: Bacteria; Bacillati; Bacillota; Clostridia; Eubacteriales; Clostridiaceae. The record is from RNAcentral.
ACGGAAGGCAGCAGUAGGGAAUUUUCGGCAAUGGGCGAAAGCCUGACCGAGCAACGCCGCGUGAAGGAAGAAGGAAUUCGUUCUGUAAACUUCUGUCAUAGAGGAAGAACGGUAUAUGUAGGGAAUGACAUAUAAGUGACGGUACUCUAUAAGAAAGCCACGGCUAACUACGUGCCAGCAGCCGCGGUAAUACGUAGGUGGCGAGCGUUAUCCGGAAUUAUUGGGCGUAAAGAGGGAGCAGGCGGCACUAAGGGUCUGUGGUGAAAGCCCGAAGCUUAACUUCGGUAAGCCAUGGAAACCGUAGAGCUAGAGUGUGUGAGAGGAUCGUGGAAUUCCAUGUGUAGCGGUGAAAUGCGUAGAUAUAUGGAGGAACACCAGUGGCGAAGGCGACGAUCUGGCGCACAACUGACGCUCAGUCCCGAAAGCGUGGGGAGCAAAUAGGAUUAGAUACCCUGGUA